CAGCCCCCUUUCAGAACCGUCCUCCUAUGAAACCCUAAAUUCUACGAGACAACAUCCAUCAUUCUCUAUUCAUCUUGCUCGAAAGGGGCUAUGCUAUUUAUGUCAUAUUUUACAGAAUCAUAGGUGAUGGCAACCUCCACCUCCGUUCUCUUCUCUCGCCUCUUUAGGAGAUCCCUUCCAAACCUCUGUGAACAAAUUCAAAUCGAACUGAAAUCGAAUAUGCAGUCAAUGACUUCUUCACCUUCAAGACAUUCGAAGUUCGUAGUCUUGUGACCUUUCCAGAAGGAGAAUCCAUAGUUCAAGUCAAUGUAAUCGGUGCGAGGUUUUUUAUUGAGACUUUUAGGAAUCUUCAAUUAAUUUUUCUUCUUUUAAUUUGAAAUUAUGGGUUGUUCAUAUUAAAAAAUAGGUUUGUGAUUCAUUCACUUUGGAUAUGAAUGAAUUCUGGAUAGUUGAUAUAUCCUAUUUCAUAUAUGUGUGCCACAAUCCGAUAGAUGAGAUAUUGCCGCAUGUCAGUGUAUUACCUUUCUAUAAUUGAAUUAGAGCACCUAAUUAUAUUGUGCAUUUUAAUUGAUACGAAAUUUACCUUUUCAACUGUAUAGUAGUAUAUUGCCUUCCAACUGUUUGAGAGAAUGCUUUAAAGUUCUGGAUAAGUUAUCAAAUGGAUUUUGAUAAAGAAUCCAUUAGAGGUUCAUGUGUGUAUGUAAUCUUUGUUUAUUAUCCAGGUUUAUUUAGAGGCCAACUCGCUGAUUGAACUACAUGGAGUCCACUUGAGGCUAUGUAGCUUCCAAGUUCCACUUAAUCUUCCGGAUUGGUUGGUUCUUUUAAUCUAUCCUAUCAGGUUGUUAGGUUAUCCCUUUGAAAUUGUUAUGUAUAUUGUUUCAGCUUGAUCAUUUACUUUGUUCUGUACCCUUUUGUGUGGUAAUCAAUUGUACUUGUUAUACUAGUGUUUACUUGCAUUGCCUCUGUUGGUUUAUCAUGUGUCACAAUCUAUACUAAACAAAUAAUUUGGUGCAUUAUCUUGUUUAAAACUAUGUCGCAAAGGCAACAAGGCCAUUGUGCCUCUAUUAAUGCUUUUCUUACUUUUUUAAUAUUGUUUUUUUUGAUCGUUCCCUAACUAGUUUAGUAUAAUUCUUUUCUUUUCAGUUAUUGGAGACAACACUUCUGAAGGAUAUGANNNNNNNNNNNNNNNNNNNNNNNNNNNNNNNNNNNNNNNNNNANNUGAGCUACUAUAGUGUGGGUGAAUCCUUGGCGUGGUGAUAUACUGAUACCAAAGCUUCUUCAUCAAAGAACACGGACACUAAAGCUUCAAAUUGUAUAGGCUAUUUUGAAGAUGUUAACAAAGAGAAAAGUUACAAUUAUGUAUAUACUGUACUGGACUAUUGU
This 1383-nucleotide long non-coding RNA is filed under the name Nicotiana tabacum (common tobacco). RNAcentral describes it as "long non-coding RNA (NTAB_LNC003712)". The record is from RNAcentral. Lineage: Eukaryota; Viridiplantae; Streptophyta; Magnoliopsida; Solanales; Solanaceae.